Molecule: ribosomal RNA, 29 nt
Filed under: Ascaris lumbricoides (common roundworm)
Lineage: Eukaryota; Metazoa; Nematoda; Chromadorea; Rhabditida; Ascarididae
Description: partial 5.8S ribosomal RNA
Source: RNAcentral
CAAAUCUUAGCGGUGGAUCACUCGGUUCG